Molecule: ribosomal RNA, 253 nt
Filed under: uncultured bacterium
Lineage: Bacteria
Description: partial 16S ribosomal RNA
Rfam family: Bacterial small subunit ribosomal RNA
Source: RNAcentral
UACAGAGGUCCCAAGCGUUGUUCGGAUUCAUUGGGCGUAAAGGGUGCGUAGGCGGCGCGGUAAGUCGGGUGUGAAAUCUCGGAGCUUAACUCCGAAACUGCAUUCGAUACUGCCGUGCUUGAGGACUGGAGAGGAGACUGGAAUUUACGGUGUAGCGGUGAAAUGCGUAGAUAUCGUUUGGAACGCCAAUGGUGAAAACAGGCAACUGGGGAUGUGCUGACGCUGAGACACGAAAGCCAGGGGAGCAAACAGG